CCUCCAUGGUGGGCUCCGUCUGGGGGCUGCAGUCAGGGGCAUAGACAUCUAUGAGAUGUCUAUGGUCAGGGGUACUUGGCAUCUUUAGACGGAUGAGGAAGCCGGAGCCAAUACGUCAUAGGCCACGCCUACUGGAUACAAACGCAGCGCGGGAGUCAGAUGAGGUCAGGAACAUAUGGCCGUCCCGUUGCUAGAACACGGCAGCGCCAAACAUUUCACUGACGACUGCUUCCUCAACUUGGGCCAAUACAGUGCUGGACUUGCUCAACGUCUGAAAAUCAAGUCUGGAUCAGUACCAACUCUCCUCGGCUCAGCUACAAACCUCGAAAAAGCCAGCUCAUCAAGUGCUUACAUUCAGCAGCUUCUCUCAAGGGAUGUUGCCUGCCAGACAGAAAACCUGGAAACGCAUAUUUGUAGGCACAAAGCUGUCCUUAAAGUCUAUGCAGCCCCAUUUUAAAAGUGAAGAAGACUGCGAUGCCUUUGGAGACCGUAGCACUCAGUGUUGCGCCACCUCAGAGAUUCUUGGUGUGGACGC
Molecule: long non-coding RNA, 535 nt
Organism: Gadus morhua (Atlantic cod)
Lineage: Eukaryota; Metazoa; Chordata; Actinopteri; Gadiformes; Gadidae
Exons: 3
Source: RefSeq, a predicted model, not a curated record